GACGAACGCUGGCGGCGUGCUUAACACAUGCAAGUCGAACGAUGAAGAAAAGAAUUGAAGCUUCGGCAGAAAUUCAUUUCGGAUUAGUGGCAGACGGGUGAGUAACGCGUGAGCAACCUACCUCUUACAAAGGGAUAGCCUCGGGAAACCGGGAUUAAUACCAUAUAACAUUGCGACGAAGCAUUUCGAUGCAAUCAAAGCUACGGCGGUAAGAGAUGGGCUCGCGUCCCAUUAACCAGAUGGUGAGGUAACGGCUCACCAUAGUAACGAUGGGUAACCGGCCUGAGAGGGUGAACGGUAACACUGGAACUGAGACACGGUCCAGACUCCUACGGGAGGCAGCAGUGGGGAAUAUUGCACAAUGGAGGGAACUCUGAUGCAGCGACGCCGCGUGAGUGAUGAAGGAAUUCGUUUCGUAAAACUCUGUUCUAUGGGAAGAAAAGGACUGUACCAUAGGAGAAAGCUCCGGCUAAAUACGUG
RNAcentral lists this ribosomal RNA (480 nucleotides) under uncultured bacterium. RNAcentral describes it as "partial 16S ribosomal RNA". It matches the Rfam family "Bacterial small subunit ribosomal RNA", at positions 28 to 507 of the family's 1533-position model. The record is from RNAcentral.